Plodia interpunctella (Indianmeal moth) is the source of this 409-nucleotide long non-coding RNA. RefSeq lists it as uncharacterized. The record is from RefSeq and is a predicted model, not a curated record. The transcript has 3 exons. NCBI's taxonomy places the organism in Eukaryota, Metazoa, Arthropoda, Insecta, Lepidoptera, Pyralidae.
UGACAACAUAGCAGCAAGGGUCGGACGAGCCAGCGGUUGCCUCAUGGCGAGCUUAAUGUGGACAUAGCCAUGAGAAUAUAAGAAAUCACGCGUACGUUACGUUUACUUGUGAAGUUAUGAUAGUGAAAUGAUUUUUUUUUUAAAUUGUUUAUUUUCAGUCAUAACAUCAACACAUAAAUAAUAUUGUCUACUUUUUGUCACAUUUUCGUCUGUUUGUUGGAACGUUACACUUAUGACAAUUAAAAAUAAAGUUUAUUCAGUGAAUUUUUCACGACACACAAGAUUAUCUUUUAACAAUCAAAGUGGACAAGUAAAUCUGAAUUAUUUUAACCAUAGUUUUGUGUCAUUUCGCUGUAACUGAACUUAAUUAUACCACAAAUUUUAAAUGUUAAAACUGACACGACACACA